This 262-nucleotide long non-coding RNA is filed under the name Calidris pugnax (ruff). RNAcentral's name for it is "lncRNA (ENSCPUG00000001829.1)". Lineage: Eukaryota; Metazoa; Chordata; Aves; Charadriiformes; Scolopacidae. The record is from RNAcentral.
ACUGCGUGGCUGGCGAGAUGGUAACGCCAAGGCGGGGAGCAGCUUCACAGCUCAUCGCCCUCAGCCCAGCAACCGCCUGAGACCCGCCGUGCCCGUUCCAAGCGCUCACUGGCUGCCCGCUGCCUCUCUGCCAGGGGUGGGGAGCAGCGUGGGGGCUCCUCGGGGACCCACGGGCUUCCCUCCGCCAUCCUCCGAGGCGGCCUGUCCCCACACACACGUGUCUGGGAAAGUGAAUGAGCACCAUGUAACCAGACAGCUAUAA